AUAACUCGUGCGUUAAGACUUCCACGUCACAGUGACGAGAAGCGCGGUUUUCGUCAUUUUGGUUUAUUUUCGCUUGUCUGUUUUCUCGCUUUUGUGUCCCCUGCGCCAGGAGGACGUCUUAACUGCCCCGAAAGGUUUUCUGCGCUGUCCAGCCCCCGGGAGGGAGACUGAGAAGCUGGCUUCUCUGUUGGGCGGCAUGCUACUGGGCUGGGAGCCUCGGGCAGCUCCAAAAUAUUGGCGGUCCUUGAUGACCCCAAGUCUGGGUGUAAGGUCUUUUGCAGAAAAAUGUUGCUAUUGAGAUGGAGAAGAAAUGUCUCUGAAGAAGGAUCUGAAGAGUUCCCAGAGAGAAGGAGGAACUUGACUCUGGACCACUGGGGUUCUUGGAAUUGGUCACAAACAGGAUAUAAUCAUGCUGAUGUUGGAAAAUCAGACUGUCACUGGCAGAACAAGGAGGAAGAAAUUCCUGGGAGGAGCAGAACAGUUUCUAUGCAGUGCUGGGCUUGGCUUGGCUGUGACUUGUUGGCUGACUGUAAUGUGUCCUUGUAUGGAAAUCUGCACCCAGUCUGCUGCCCCAGAAGCCACAUUCAUUAGGGUCCUUCUGGCCCUGACUUGGGACAUUAAAUUAACAUUCCAAAGCCAUUCUGGGGAGAUCAGUAAUUGCCAGCUGUUAACCCAGGGGUGGAAAUGAAGAGCUCAGUGCCACUUAAACUUCUAGUUCCAAGUCACACCACAACAAAAGGGAUAAAGCCUAGACUUCACGCUAAGCCCUGGAGGCACAAUCUCCAAGGUAACAGUGAGUCAGAUUUGGCCUAAUCCUCUGCAGACCUGUGUUAAGGUACUUGCUGAAAUGUGGCAUUGACCUUCACCCUUAGUAGCUUGCCGGUCUCUGCCUUAGCCAAGUCCACCAGAAAGCACAAGAAAGUGUUUAAAGAUGCAUUUGGAUGCUAGGUAGUUGCCAUAAACUUUAGCAGCUCUCUUGCACAUUCUCAGCUGUGGGGGCUCUGCUUCCCAUGUAAGGUCAUAUGAUUUCACAAGAACCACAUGCAGCUGGGACAAGGGGGUCUGAAAAUUCCCACUGCUCUGCCUUCCUGUCCCUUAACCUAUACUUGAGAAGAGGGUUCAGAUCCUGGAUUUCUGACAAGCUUCUGGUUCCUGCCCUGUGACUGGGACUUGACUCCUCAGCCCCCCCCCCAUAAAAAUUUCUCCAAGCAGUGUGGCAGUCUGCAUGCACACAAUACCCCAUGGCCUGAAUAUGCCAUGAGUGCUUAGAACUUUCUAAGUGUCCCUAGGUUGUCUGUAGUCUGAGAAUCUGUAGUGGGCUCAUAAUAGGACUAGGUU
This 1338-nucleotide long non-coding RNA is filed under the name Ictidomys tridecemlineatus (thirteen-lined ground squirrel). RNAcentral describes it as "lncRNA (ENSSTOG00000031689.1)". Lineage: Eukaryota; Metazoa; Chordata; Mammalia; Rodentia; Sciuridae. The record is from RNAcentral.